RNAcentral lists this unclassified non-coding RNA (418 nucleotides) under uncultured fungus. RNAcentral's name for it is "partial contains small subunit ribosomal RNA, internal transcribed spacer 1, and 5.8S ribosomal RNA". The stretch from base 1 to 73 matches the Rfam family "Eukaryotic small subunit ribosomal RNA", at positions 1759 to 1831 of the family's 1831-position model. The record is from RNAcentral. Lineage: Eukaryota; Fungi.
ACAAACUUGGUCAUUUAGAGGAAGUAAAAGUCGUAACAAGGUUUCCGUAGGUGAACCUGCGGAAGGAUCAUUACCAAUCUUUAGCGGCCUUGGUUUGUUUCAUGGUCUCGCGAAACUUGUAUUUAAAACCUACUCAUAUAAUAGAAUAAUACUUAUACUUAUGAUAUAAAUAAAGAUCACUUUCAACAACGGAUCUCUUGGCUCUCUUAGAGGAAGUAAAAGUCGUAACAAGGUUUCCGUAGGUGAACCUGCGGAAGGAUCAUUACCAAUCUUUAGCGGCCUUGGUUUGUUUCAUGGUCUCGCGAAACUUGUAUUUAAAACCUACUCAUAUAAUAGAAUAAUACUUAUACUUAUGAUAUAAAUAAAGAUCACUUUCAACAACGGAUCUCUUGGCUCUCGCAUCGAUGAAGAACGCAGC